Molecule: long non-coding RNA, 264 nt
Organism: Sapajus apella (tufted capuchin)
Lineage: Eukaryota; Metazoa; Chordata; Mammalia; Primates; Cebidae
Exons: 3
Source: RefSeq, a predicted model, not a curated record
UCAAAAUGACUCGAUCCUUUGACGUCAGAAUGGAUGUUGUGUUAGCAGGAAUUAAAACAGCAUUCUUCUCUUUGUACAUCUUCAUCAGAGCUUUUGGGUGAUCCGCAACAAUAUUUUUCUCAGAGCAGUAUGUCUCAAUAGUGGGCUUGAAAUAUUCAGUAAACCAUGCUAUAAAUAGAUGGGCUGUCAUUCAGGUUUUGUUGUUCUUUUUAUAGAGCACAAGUGGAGUCCAUUUAGCAUAAUUCUUAUGGAAUUUUCAGAAUA